GAUCCUGGCUCAGGACGAACGUUGGCGGCGCGCCUAACACAUGCAAGUCGAACGAGCGAGAGAGAGCUUGCUUUCUCGAGCGAGUGGCGAACGGGUGAGUAACGCGUGAGGAACCUGCCUCAAAGAGGGGGACAACAGUUGGAAACGACUGCUAAUACCGCAUAAGCCCACGACCCGGCAUCGGGUAGAGGGAAAAGGAGCAAUCCGCUUUGAGAUGGCCUCGCGUCCGAUUAGCUAGUUGGUGAGG
RNAcentral lists this ribosomal RNA (247 nucleotides) under uncultured bacterium. RNAcentral describes it as "partial 16S ribosomal RNA". It matches the Rfam family "Bacterial small subunit ribosomal RNA", at positions 15 to 257 of the family's 1533-position model. The record is from RNAcentral.